Molecule: non-coding RNA, 305 nt
Filed under: uncultured Cycloclasticus sp.
Lineage: Bacteria; Pseudomonadati; Pseudomonadota; Gammaproteobacteria; Thiotrichales; Piscirickettsiaceae
Source: RNAcentral
AUCGCGCCACCUUUAUUAUUUUCUAGAAUGGUUUGUACCGAGCCUUUACCAAAACUUUGCUGCCCCAUAAUCACCGCACGUUUAUGAUCUUGUAGCGCACCUGCGACAAUUUCUGAAGCGGAAGCAGAGCCACCAUUAAUCAACACAACAAUGGGAGCGCCUUUUAACAUAUCAUCCGGACCCGCUUUAAAAUUCAUUUUAGAAUGCUCAAUUCGGCCUUCUGUAUAUACAAUCAAACCGGAGUCCAAGAAAGAGUCACUCACCGAAACAGCUGCAUUUAAUAAGCCACCAGGGUUAUUACGUAA